GACGAACGCUGGCGGCGUGCUUAACACAUGCAAGUCGAACGGAAAGGCCCUGCUUUUGUGGGGUGCUCGAGUGGCGAACGGGUGAGUAACACGUGAGUAACCUGCCCUUGACUUUGGGAUAACUUCAGGAAACUGGGGCUAAUACCGGAUAGGAGCUCCUGCUGCAUGGUGGGGGUUGGAAAGUUUCGGCGGUUGGGGAUGGACUCGCGGCUUAUCAGCUUGUUGGUGGGGUAGUGGCUUACCAAGGCUUUGACGGGUAGCCGGCCUGAGAGGGUGACCGGCCACAUUGGGACGGAGAGACGGAGCAGACGGCAACGGGAGGCAGCAGUGGGGAAUAUUGCACAAUGGGCGGAAGCCUGAUGAAGCAAAGCCGCGUGCGGGAUGACGGCCUUCGGGUUGUAAACAGAUUUCGCCUGUGACGAAGCGUGAGUGACGGUAAUGGGUAAAGAAGCACCGGCUAACUACGUG
RNAcentral lists this ribosomal RNA (468 nucleotides) under uncultured bacterium. Its description in RNAcentral is "partial 16S ribosomal RNA". It matches the Rfam family "Bacterial small subunit ribosomal RNA", at positions 28 to 507 of the family's 1533-position model. The record is from RNAcentral.